GUGUUCCGCUAUUUUUCUAACAGUACUAAAAGUGUUCCGCCGCUACAAAAAGGUUGAGAACCACUGGUCUAGACUGACAGGAUUGAUCGAUCAAUCCUGAAGUCUAGAGCAAGUCUAGAAUUUUCGCCAGAAUUGAUCGAUCAAUCUUGUCGUAAAACUUGAUUGAUGUUAACCGCAGUAGUGAUUCUGGCUGCGGGAAUGAGUAUUUCGUUUCAGUUAGAAUCCCAAAAGAAAUAGCCAUAAUUCGAUAGAACAGCGAUUUCCAAUUAGCUAAGAAUUGUGGUCUUCCCUUUUUCUAAUAAAUAUGAGUUUCUAUAUAAAUGAUGCCACAGAGUUCCCUAAAUUGAUUCUACGGACCCCCAAGAAUCCGCCGACCUAUGUUCAUGGGAAUUUUUUUCAUCAUUUUGACUAUAUAGUAAUUCCGGUAGAGAUGGACCAGCUUUUUUCGAAUCGCUCUAUCUUCUCAUAUACUGCAAUAUUAUUGAGGAAAAUGAUUUCGUGGUAUUCUGGUGACAAAUCACUAGUAAUAAAUAAAGGAAAAAAUGCAAUAUAUAUAUAAACAAAUUUUUUAUUAAUGAAAGAAAAAUAUGACGAGUGGUCCAUCUAUCCCACAUAUCUAUGGGUGAGAUGGACCAUGCAGUAUGGGAGAGAUGGACUUUUAGGAAAUGUCAAUAAAAACACAACAAAGCAUCAAUAUUAAUAUUUAUUAAACCUUCUAGUAUAUAAAAUUACAUGAAAGAAAUUAAAUUUUGUCGCAAUAUUUUUAUUAACUUAUAUUAUUUUCAUUAUGUUUUUUGUUUUUUACCACACAAGUCAAUACAAAUUCAAAUACACAUUAUAUAGGCCUAUAUGUAGAGAAUUUACACAUAUAAGUAAAUUGAACAAACUAUACUAAAGACAAACUAUUAAUUAGUGAUUUUUCGAAAAAUUAGUUCAUCAUCCAAAAUAAUCCAUACAUCAUAAUGGACAAUCUCUCUCAUAUUGGUCUGGUCC
Molecule: long non-coding RNA, 993 nt
Filed under: Androctonus crassicauda
Lineage: Eukaryota; Metazoa; Arthropoda; Arachnida; Scorpiones; Buthidae
Source: RNAcentral